UUUAUUUUGUUUAAACCUUACAUGGCAUUACACAAUGAAGAUACCGCAACAUAGUUCACCAAGUAAAAAUUAUUAAAAAAUAACCAUUCCAUGGUGCAUGACUAGUCACGAUCCUUGAAGAUGCACUCGUGACUUGGAGAUAAAUUCCAAUUGUUCCACUCAGAUGAAUUAACACUUUUGAAUAACCCACUAGGCCACGGAUUGUAUCCAUAGUUUUCUUCUCUUUCACCAAGUAAAUCCCUCAUCAAUUGUGCAUUGGAAUUUUCAGCAUCUUCAGCUGUGGCAGGUGCACAUGUAGGUGUUGGUUGGUUCUGGGAAUCUGGAACAGGUUGGGCAUCUGAAUAUGGGUGGUUUUGUUCCACAAAAGUGUAAAUCUCUGGAUAUGUAACGUUAGGAUUUUUGUCAACCAUAAAAAACAUGUUAUGGACAUCCUCAUCAUGACAAAGAUUGUAAGGUGAGUAACUGACACACCCACAGAAAUUAGAUAUCGGGCAUCACCAUUGAAGAGCGGAUACAUGCUCUUCAGUGGAGCUGCAAAUCUUAGUUUCAAUGAUCUCCUUCAGUCCUAGACUAAUGCUCUUAUAAACUCACACUGACUUCAUCUUACCAUCUUUGUAUGACAAGCCAUGUUCGCCAUUCAAAACCGUUUCCCCAGAAAAUAGACAAACACAAAGGUCGCUAUGGAAUUCAUAGCAACCAAAUUGAACCGGGACUUUGACUCGUGGGAGGAAAUGUAAGGGAACCUAAACUUUAGACCAGGAUUCAUGCACAAAAUACUUC
This 780-nucleotide long non-coding RNA is filed under the name Glycine max (soybean). RNAcentral's name for it is "long non-coding RNA (GMAX_LNC004119)". Lineage: Eukaryota; Viridiplantae; Streptophyta; Magnoliopsida; Fabales; Fabaceae. The record is from RNAcentral.